GGAGGGGUGGCAGAGUGGUCGAAUGCACUGGUCUUGAAAACCAGCGUACCGCAGGGUACCGGGGGUUCGAAUCCCUCCCCCUCCG
Molecule: transfer RNA, 85 nt
Filed under: Bacteroidota bacterium
Lineage: Bacteria; Pseudomonadati; Bacteroidota
Also listed under: 1 other name
Description: tRNA-Ser
Rfam family: tRNA
About the family: Transfer RNA (tRNA) molecules are approximately 80 nucleotides in length. Their secondary structure includes four short double-helical elements and three loops (D, anti-codon, and T loops).
Source: RNAcentral